This 465-nucleotide ribosomal RNA is filed under the name uncultured Klebsiella sp. Its description in RNAcentral is "bacterial SSU rRNA". It matches the Rfam family "Bacterial small subunit ribosomal RNA", at positions 338 to 795 of the family's 1533-position model. Lineage: Bacteria; Pseudomonadati; Pseudomonadota; Gammaproteobacteria; Enterobacterales; Enterobacteriaceae. The record is from RNAcentral.
CCUACGGGAGGCUGCAGUGGGGAAUAUUGCACAAUGGGCGCAAGCCUGAUGCAGCCAUGCCGCGUGUGUGAAGAAGGCCUUCGGGUUGUAAAGCACUUUCAGCGGGGAGGAAGGCGGUGAGGUUAAUAACCUCAUCGAUUGACGUUACCCGCAGAAGAAGCACCGGCUAACUCCGUGCCGGCAGCCGCGGUAAUACGGAGGGUGCAAGCGUUAAUCGGAAUUACUGGGCGUAAAGCGCACGCAGGCGGUCUGUCAAGUCGGAUGUGAAAUCCCCGGGCUCAACCUGGGAACUGCAUUCGAAACUGGCAGGCUAGAGUCUUGUAGAGGGGGGUAGAAUUCCAGGUGUAGCGGUGAAAUGCGUAGAGAUCUGGAGGAAUACCGGUGGCGAAGGCGGCCCCCUGGACAAAGACUGACGCUCAGGUGCGAAAGCGUGGGGAGCAAACAGGAUUAGAUACCCGUGUAGUC